CCUACGGGAGGCAGCAGUGGGGAAUAUUGGACAAUGGGCGCAAGCCUGAUCCAGCAAUACCGCGUGUGUGAAGAAGGCCUGAGGGUUGUAAAGCACUUUCAAUGGGGAGGAAAACCUACCGGCCAAUACCCGGUGGCUUGACAUUACCCAUACAAGAAGCACCGGCUAACUCCGUGCCAGCAGCCGCGGUAAUACGGAGGGUGCGAGCGUUAAUCGGAAUUACUGGGCGUAAAGCGUGCGUAGGCGGCCCGCCAAGCCAGAUGUGAAAGCCCCGGGCUCAACCUGGGAACUGCAUUUGGAACUGACGGGCUAGAGUUGGGUANAGGGGGGCGGAAUUUCAGGUGUAGCGGUGAAAUGCGUAGAGAUCUGAAGGAACACCAGUGGCGAAGGCGGCCCCCUGGACCCAAACUGACGCUGAGGCACGAAAGCGUGGGUAGCAAACAGGAUUAGAUACCCGUGGUAGUCCACGCCGUAAACGAUGCCGACUAGCCGUUGGCCCUAUAUACAGGGUUAGUGGCGCAGCUACGCAUAGUACGGCCGCCGUCGGGAGGUACGGCGACGAACGUUAAACGUACGAAGAAGUAGACGCGUGAGACGUAGCGACGACGACGACGAGGGAGUAGG
RNAcentral lists this ribosomal RNA (624 nucleotides) under uncultured bacterium. RNAcentral's name for it is "bacterial SSU rRNA". The stretch from base 1 to 542 matches the Rfam family "Bacterial small subunit ribosomal RNA", at positions 338 to 873 of the family's 1533-position model. The record is from RNAcentral.